RNAcentral lists this unclassified non-coding RNA (353 nucleotides) under Hevea brasiliensis (rubber tree). The record is from RNAcentral. Lineage: Eukaryota; Viridiplantae; Streptophyta; Magnoliopsida; Malpighiales; Euphorbiaceae.
GAUGGGGCGACGGUUUUUUUCCUCUAAUUGGGCCAUGCCUAUCUAAAGGCGAGACUCUGGCCUUCCGGUUUUCCAGAGAGAUCUGUAUGGUCAGGAUUUUUGUCUUUGAUGUCCCCCUUGGAACACUCCUGUUACUUCCUAGCUCCAUCUUGCCUUGUUUAAGACUAGCUGAUUUUCUAAGUUGAGAUGCCUUGUUUGCAAAGCUUUCAUGACUAGGUUGCAUUUUCUUUAUUCGUGCAAGGCUAGUCAAAUUAUUCAUAUGAGACACCUUGUUUGGAUCAUCUUUACUAAUCACUUUGCCUGUUUUAUUGGGAAGAGAUACCAUUCCGGGGGAACUGUUAUUUAACUUUUUG